CCAGCUUCUUGUUCUUCCCUUCUGGAAUCUGGCGGCGGCGGCGGCGCCAACCGAUCAGCUGAGCUGGGUUAAAGAUGACAGCGGCUGAGGCUCAGCCGGCUCUGCGGUUGCUGUUCAGAUGCCAAUCUAAGUGAAAUGGAACGGAAGGCAACUACAGCGUUCCUGGAAGAUGAGCUGGUUUUGAAAACUAAGUAGUUACUAACCUCUGCACAUCUGAAUGCAAUUCUCAUGUUUGCUCCUUCACUAUGAGUCACUAUGAGUGAAAUCAGAUUGGCAAAACGGGAAAGAAGAACGUGUAACAGAAGGCCUGGCUUGUUAUUUCACCUCUCUCUCUCUUUUUUCUCCAUCUCUGUCUUCUCCAGACAAAUUAUUGAACUACUGUGCUAUUCUGAUGCAGUGGGCACUCUGGGUACAUCAACCUUGAGCUGGGAUGUUGUUCACCUUAGAAAGCAAGCAAUGGUUUGCAGUGACCAAUAGUGUAGAGUAAUUGCUUAGAGUUAGAUAUUACUGCUAUUAUUAUUAAUAAUAGUACAGACUAUGAUUCAUCUAUAUGGUAUUAAUAUUAGUGUGUUAACCUGAUUUGUUUUCUGUGGUUUAUAAUGAACGUCCACUGACUUUUCUCUAUCUUGUAAUUUUAUUGUGGUGAUUGUCUCCGAGUGGACUUCAUAGGGGACAAAAAGGUAGAAGAUUUGAGUAUGAUGCCACAAAUAUUUUGAAUCCUUUCACUGCUCUGUGAAAACACUCUGGGGGAUUAAAAAAACAAAAGGUGAAAAGAGUGCAACCUUGCCCUGCCUUCAAGGAUCUUGCAAUGCAGUGCAAAGACUAACUUAAAUAUAUUGCACUAAGAGGAGUGCUGAGUAGAGAUGUCCCAGAACUUAGUACUCAGUUACAGGAAGUUAGAGGGUGUGGAAGAAUCUCCUGGGGCAUAGAAUUUCAAGAAGCCACACUGUGGGCAAGCUGAGAAGAUGAUUUUGGUCAUGACCAGCAUACCAGCAUACCAGUGCCAGUAGGACCCCACACCUGUUGGAGAUCUCAGUGAGCUGUGACCAAGAACCUUCUAAUUACUCAAGACUGCAUGACUGUAAACUGUCAGAUGUCUGUUAGUAAUAAUAUGAUUCCUCAUUGAUCAUAGGCAAUUGAUAUCCAGUAAACAUUUGUUCCGUGAAUUUUUUUUGUUGUUUUGUUUACAGGUACCUGGCUAGCUCAGUUCGUAGAGCAUGUGACUCUUAAUCUCAGGGUCUCUAGUUCAAGUCCCAUGUUGGGAAUGGAGCCCGCUUAAAAAAAAAAAAAGAAAGAAAGAAAGAAAAGAAAAAAGAAUGAAUUUGUUUAAACCUCCAAGGAGGUUUAAAAAUAAAGAAACGAAAAAAGCCAGGUAUAACUUGUAUUUAGCAUGAUUUCCUUCUCCCUCUCUUACAAAAUACUAACCAGACUUCUCUUUCUGGCUGCAUAUGACUCCCCCCACCCACUACACAUUUCUUUGUCAAAAUCAUUUUAAAUAAAAAUGGACACAUCUGGAAUCCUUACUUGAUUUCAGGUACUCUUUGAAA
Molecule: long non-coding RNA, 1547 nt
Organism: Mustela lutreola (European mink)
Lineage: Eukaryota; Metazoa; Chordata; Mammalia; Carnivora; Mustelidae
Exons: 2
Source: RefSeq, a predicted model, not a curated record